This 427-nucleotide ribosomal RNA is filed under the name uncultured prokaryote. Its description in RNAcentral is "bacterial SSU rRNA". It matches the Rfam family "Bacterial small subunit ribosomal RNA", at positions 355 to 774 of the family's 1533-position model. The record is from RNAcentral.
UGAGGAAUCUUGCGCAAUGGGGGAAACCCUGACGCAGCAAUGCCGCGUGUGUGAGGAAGGUCUUCGGAUUGUAAAGCUCUGUCGGGUGGAAAGAAAUGUAGGAGGUUAAUAGCUUUCAUAUUUGACGUUACCACCAGAGUAAGCACCGGCUAACUCCGUGCCAGCAGCCGCGGUAAUACGGGGGGUGCAAGCGUUGAUCGGAAUUACUGGGCGUAAAGAGCGUGUAGGUGGCUUGGCAAGUCAGAUGUGAAAUCCCUGGGCUUAACCUGGGAAGUGCAUUCAAAACUAGUAAGCUAGAGUAGGGUAGAGGGAAGUGGAAUUUCUUGUGUAGAGGUGAAAUUCGUAGAUAUCAGGAGGAACACCAGUGGCGAAGGCGACUUCCUGGCCUUAUACUGACACUGAGGCGCGAAAGCGUGGGGAGCAAACA